Molecule: transfer RNA, 62 nt
Filed under: Vibrio cholerae
Lineage: Bacteria; Pseudomonadati; Pseudomonadota; Gammaproteobacteria; Vibrionales; Vibrionaceae
Description: tRNA-Ala
Rfam family: tRNA
About the family: Transfer RNA (tRNA) molecules are approximately 80 nucleotides in length. Their secondary structure includes four short double-helical elements and three loops (D, anti-codon, and T loops).
Source: RNAcentral
UAUAGCUCAGCUGGGAGAGCGCCUGCCUUGCACGCAGGAGGUCUGCGGUUCGAUCCCGCAUA